Molecule: ribosomal RNA, 505 nt
Filed under: uncultured bacterium
Lineage: Bacteria
Description: bacterial SSU rRNA
Rfam family: Bacterial small subunit ribosomal RNA
Source: RNAcentral
ACUCAAAUGAAUAGACGGGGGCUCACACAAGCGGUGGAGGAUGUGGCUUAAUUCGAGGCUACGCGAAGAACCUUAUCCUAGGCUUGACAUGCGGGAUACCGUCCUUGAAAGAGGAGCCGGUUGCCUUCGGGUGAAACCAGCACAGGUGCUGCAUGGCUGUCGUCAGCUCGUGUCGUGAGAUGUCGGGUUAAGUCCCUUAACGAGCGAAACCCCUAUCAUUAGUUGCCAGCGCGUCAAGGCGGGGACUCUAGUGAGACUGCCGAUGUUAAAGAGGAGGAAGGUGGGGAUGACGUCAAGUCCUCAUGGCCCUUAUGCCUAGGGCUGCACACGUCCUACAAUGCCACACACAAAGGGAAGCAACAUCGUGAGAUCAAGCAAAUCCCAAAAAAUGUGGCCCAGUUCGGAUUGUAGUCUGAAAUUCGACUACAUGAAGUCGGAAUCGCUAGUAAUCGCGGGUCAGAAUACCGCGGUGAAUAUGUUCCUGAGCCUUGUACACACCGCCCGU